RNAcentral lists this small nuclear RNA (139 nucleotides) under Colobus angolensis palliatus. RNAcentral's name for it is "U4 spliceosomal RNA (ENSCANG00000017316.1)". It matches the Rfam family "U4 spliceosomal RNA". From Rfam's summary of the family: U4 small nuclear RNA (U4 snRNA) is a component of the major U2-dependent spliceosome. The structure of U4 snRNA from yeast and human has been reported. U4 snRNA presents a k-turn RNA motif in the 5p-SL related to recognition of Snu13 protein. Lineage: Eukaryota; Metazoa; Chordata; Mammalia; Primates; Cercopithecidae. The record is from Rfam by way of RNAcentral.
AGCUUUGCACAGUGGCAGUAUCGUAGCCAGUGAGCUUUACCCGAGGCGCGAAUAUUACUAAUUAAAUAUUUAUAAAAACCUUUCAAGCAGCACCUGAACAAGAAUAGGUUUAGAGGAGCUCUGGUAGUCUGAGUUUGGG